This is a long non-coding RNA of Spodoptera frugiperda (fall armyworm), 602 nucleotides long. RefSeq lists it as uncharacterized. The transcript is spliced from 3 exons. NCBI's taxonomy places the organism in Eukaryota, Metazoa, Arthropoda, Insecta, Lepidoptera, Noctuidae. The record is from RefSeq and is a predicted model, not a curated record.
UACACAUUCUGGAAGAAAACUUGUACCUGUCAUUUUUGACAAUUCUUCGACGCUUCAAAAGUUAACCUCAAAGAUUACUUGUUUAUUUAUUUUGUUUUUCAAAAUGAGUUUUCUAUUCUGUUGUGUUGGUUUAUUAAAAGGUGAAAAUGUUAAUGUGCAAAAAUGGGACUAAUCCAAUGGUAUCUUAAAUGCCCGUUGGCUCGACAUUCAUGAAAAUAAUCGUUGCAUGAAAAUCAAGUACAAAUUACUUGUUUUAUUAUUUCUUAGUUUUCUUGUUGAUAUUUUGUUAAUUUAAGGUUCAGUUUGGUUUAAUAGUGAGUCUUAGUUAAGUGUUAGUGUUUUGUGGUUAUGUGAAGUGAAUAAACUCUUUGGGAACACUUGAUUCAGGAGGAUUUUGUGGCAGGUAAGUCUUAUAUUCUGCAAGACAGCGGGUUCGAGGUUCGGGAGAGAAUUGAGAUACAUUUUAUUACUUCGAAGAAAGGUAAUAAGUUGCUAGUCUUCAAACAGUAUACUUAUGCAAAGAAUUUUGAGAGUAAAUACGGAGUCUCUUGGACUUGUUCUUCACGGUGUUCUAAGAAAUGUCAGGCGCAGGUUACCUUGAG